RNAcentral lists this microRNA precursor (96 nucleotides) under Oryzias latipes (Japanese medaka). RNAcentral's name for it is "microRNA mir-103-1 (ENSORLG00020005793.1)". The stretch from base 14 to 91 matches the Rfam family "mir-103/107 microRNA precursor family". Rfam says of the family: This family consists of the mammalian microRNA (miRNA) precursors mir-103 and mir107. Animal miRNAs are transcribed as ~70nt precursors and subsequently processed by the Dicer enzyme to give a ~22nt product. The record is from RNAcentral. Lineage: Eukaryota; Metazoa; Chordata; Actinopteri; Beloniformes; Adrianichthyidae. RNAcentral also lists the same sequence under 2 other names.
UCUCCACCCUGCUCUGCGCUUUUAGCCUCUUUACAGUGCUGCCUUGUCUUCUCGCGUUCAAGCAGCAUUGUACAGGGCUAUGACGGCGCAGAGAGC